Molecule: ribosomal RNA, 510 nt
Filed under: uncultured bacterium
Lineage: Bacteria
Description: partial 16S ribosomal RNA
Rfam family: Bacterial small subunit ribosomal RNA
Source: RNAcentral
GACGAACGCUGGCGGCGUGCUUAACACAUGCCAGUCGAACGAAGAGCGAUGGAAGCUUGCUUCUAUCAAUCUUAGUGGCGCACGGGUGAGUAACGCGUAAUCAACCUGCCCUUCAGAGGGGGACAACAGUUGGAAACGACUUCUAAUACCGCAUACGAUCUAAUCGCGGCAUCGAGGAUAGAUGAAAGGUGGCCUCUACAUGUAAGCUAUCACUGAAGCAGGGGAUUGCGUCUGAUUAGCUAGUUGGGGGGGUAAAGGCCCACCAAGGCGAUGAUCAGUAGCCGGUCUGAGAGGAUGAACGGCCACAUUGGGACUGAGAAACGGCCCAGAAUCCUACGGGAGGCAGCAGUGGGGAAUCUUCCGCAAUGGACGAAAGUCUGACGGAGCAAAGCCGCGUGAGUGAUGACGGCCUUCGGGUUGUAAAGCUCCGUUAAUCGGGACGAAAGGCCUUCUUGCGAAUAGUGAGAAGGAUUGACGGUACCGGAAUAGAAAGCCACGGCUAACUACGUG